This 638-nucleotide ribosomal RNA is filed under the name uncultured marine archaeon. RNAcentral's name for it is "bacterial SSU rRNA". It matches the Rfam family "Archaeal small subunit ribosomal RNA", at positions 28 to 670 of the family's 1478-position model. The record is from RNAcentral.
UGCUUCGGAUUGAUACUAAGCCAUGCGAGUAUUGUAGUAAUACAAGGCAGACGGCUCAGUAACGCGUAGUCAACCUAACCUAUGGACGGGAAUAACCUCGGGAAACUGAGUAUAAUGCCCGAUAGAACAUUAUGCCUGGAAUGGUUUAUGUUCCAAAUGAUUUAUCGCCGUAGGAUGGGACUGCGGCCUAUCAGUUUGUUGGUGAGGUAAUGGCCCACCAAGACUAUUACAGGUACGGGCUCUGAGAGGAGUAGCCCGGAGAUGGGUACUGAGACACGGACCCAGGCCCUAUGGGGCGCAGCAGGCGAGAAAACUUUGCAAUGUGCGAAAGCACGACAAGGUUAAUCCGAGUGGUUUCUGCUAAAGGAACCUUUUGUCGGUCCUAGAAACACCGAUGAAUAAGGGGUGGGCAAGUUCUGGUGUCAGCCGCCGCGGUAAAACCAGCACCUCAAGUGGUCAGGAUGAUUAUUGGGCCUAAAGCAUCCGUAGCCGGCUCUGUAAGUUUUCGGUUAAAUCUGUAUGCUCAACAUACAGGCUGCCGGGAAUACUGCAGAGCUAGGGAGUGGGAGAGGUAGACGGUACUCGGUAGGAAAGGGGGUAAAAAUCCUUUGGAUCUAUUGAUGACCACCUGUGGCGAA